UGAAAAGCGUCCUAAACCACUCAAAGUUGAAGAAGAACAGCUUCUAAGGGCUUUCUACGAAUUCAAAAUUCAAGACGUUUGUGAUGCCUUUAAGUUCCCUCGUAAGAUUCAGGCAACAGCUCUCAUUUAUUUUAAGAGGUUUUAUCUUCUGUGGUCCGUGAUGGAACAUCACCCCAAAGACAUUAUGUUAACGUGCAUAUAUGCAGCUUGCAAGGCAGAGGAAAACCAUGUAUCAGCUGAGGAGCUUGGGAAGGGUAUUGGACAG
This 265-nucleotide unclassified non-coding RNA is filed under the name Hevea brasiliensis (rubber tree). The record is from RNAcentral. Lineage: Eukaryota; Viridiplantae; Streptophyta; Magnoliopsida; Malpighiales; Euphorbiaceae.